GAUGAAGAACGCAGCGAAAUGCGAUAAGUAGUGUGAAUUGCAGAAUUCAGUGAAUCAUCGAGUCUUUGAACGCACAUUGCGCCCAUUGGUAUUCCGUUGGGCAUGUCUGUUUGAGCGUCAUUACAACAGUUCAGCGUAAGCUGGUUAUGAGUUCUGUUUUUUUAAACAAAAAACAGGCUUUAAAAUGUAUGUUCUGCAGGUCGCUUUGCUAAACCCUAAACAUUAAAUACUGUUCUAGUGAAGCAUUUGCGACUCUGCCUGAAAAAAAACUUUUGUUAAAGUUUGACCUCAGAUCAGACAAGGAUACCCGCUGAACUUAAGCAUAUCAAUAAGCGGAGGA
RNAcentral lists this unclassified non-coding RNA (340 nucleotides) under soil metagenome. RNAcentral's name for it is "partial contains 5.8S ribosomal RNA, internal transcribed spacer 2, and large subunit ribosomal RNA". The stretch from base 1 to 120 matches the Rfam family "5.8S ribosomal RNA", at positions 35 to 154 of the family's 154-position model. The record is from RNAcentral.